UACGGAGGGGGCGAGCGUUAUUCGGAUUCAUUGGGCGUAAAGGGUGCGUAGGCGGCGCGGUAAGUCGGGUGUGAAAUCUCGGGGCUUAACUCCGAAACUGCAUUCGAUACUGCCGUGCUUGAGGACUGGAGAGGAGACUGGAAUUUACGGUGUAGCGGUGAAAUGCGUAGAUAUCGUAAGGAAGACCAGUGGCGAAGGCGGGUCUCUGGACAGUUCCUGACGCCGAGGCACGAAGGCCAGGGGAGCAAACGGG
Molecule: ribosomal RNA, 253 nt
Filed under: uncultured bacterium
Lineage: Bacteria
Description: partial 16S ribosomal RNA
Rfam family: Bacterial small subunit ribosomal RNA
Source: RNAcentral